Molecule: unclassified non-coding RNA, 146 nt
Filed under: soil metagenome
Description: partial internal transcribed spacer 1
Source: RNAcentral
GAUAUAAGUGUUUUAUGGCACUUUUUAAAUCCAUAUCCACCUUGUGUGCAAUGUCAGUCGAUCUUCUUCAUGGAGAUCGACCAAACAUCAACCUUUAUCUUUUAACUCUUUGUCUGAAAAAUAUUAUGAAUAAACAAUUCAAAAUA